This 180-nucleotide ribosomal RNA is filed under the name uncultured bacterium. Its description in RNAcentral is "partial 16S ribosomal RNA". It matches the Rfam family "Bacterial small subunit ribosomal RNA", at positions 338 to 508 of the family's 1533-position model. The record is from RNAcentral.
CCUACGGGAGGCAGCAGUAGGGAAUUUUUCGUCAAUGGGGGGGAACCCUGAACGAGCAAUGCCGCGUGAGUGAGGAAGGUCUUCGGAUCGUAAAGCUCUGUUGUAAGAGAAAAACGGCACUCAUAGGGAAUGAUGAGUGAGUGAUGGUAUCUUACCAGAAAGUCACGGCUAACUACGUGC